Molecule: RNase MRP RNA, 624 nt
Filed under: Cladophialophora psammophila CBS 110553
Lineage: Eukaryota; Fungi; Ascomycota; Eurotiomycetes; Chaetothyriales; Herpotrichiellaceae
Description: RNase MRP
Rfam family: RNase MRP
About the family: RNase MRP is an enzymatically active ribonucleoprotein with two distinct roles in eukaryotes.
Source: Rfam by way of RNAcentral
UCCGCGUUCAAAGAAUCGCAUUCAAAGCUCACGUACAGCAGAAGUCUUUCUCAGAUAUCUGCAAACCCACUCAAAAACAGCUUUGGGAGAAAGUCCCCGGACCGCCCUACCUCUUCUCAAUUUUGGGGAGAGAACGUUAGGACCUGCCGAGAGGCAACCGCCAUAAAAGCAAUCUUUCACUGCGGUUCUCAUUUCGCCUCCCACUCUUCUCCGAGCUCUAUCCCUCUCCUUCGAGAUCCGACCUCAUUGUCGUUUGUAUUCUCCUCUGGACCUCCUUCUUGUUCGUGGGUCUCGGUGUGGAAUGAAUGAGGGGAAGAUUUGUCUGGGGGAUGGAUGAAGAUAUGAGUCCGUCUCCGUGAAGAUAAUUUUCCUUUUUCUGAAGCAGAGAGGCCUUGAACUUUUGUUGGCUCACCAGGGGGAAGAGAUGGAGAGGGUAACAUCCACAAUUGGGAGAUUGACGGAGCCAGUCUGGAUACUCGGAGAGCUCAAAGAGUGAUUUUUUGGGAGGUUGCGCAAUUCGUCAUAUGUCGAAAGUUAUGCGAUUGCUCUCCGCCCUGACUGCCGCGUUCUUCGCUGUGGUGGGCGGCGGAGAGUAACUCGAUGGGGCUUAUUCUUGAGGCGCGG